GCCAUCAUGGUGUAGCGGUUUUAGCACUGGACUAUGACUCUGUAGGCCAUGGUUUGAAUCCCUGCUCAGCCA
Non-coding RNA from Phrynosoma platyrhinos (Desert horned lizard), 72 nucleotides. NCBI's taxonomy places the organism in Eukaryota, Metazoa, Chordata, Lepidosauria, Squamata, Phrynosomatidae. The record is from the annotation of a GenBank genome assembly.